This is a non-coding RNA of Ailuropoda melanoleuca (giant panda), 83 nucleotides long. NCBI's taxonomy places the organism in Eukaryota, Metazoa, Chordata, Mammalia, Carnivora, Ursidae. The record is from Rfam.
GCCUGGGUGGCACAGUGGUUAAGCGUCUGACUUCGGCUCAGGGCGUGAUCCCGGUGUUGUGGGAUCGAGCCCCACAUCAGGCU